UUCUGGGGGACACUCAACGGGCUAGCCCAGCGGCGGCGCCCCGGUCCGUCGCGAAGGCGAAGCUAAACCGGGAGCUACGCUCGUAGAAUCUCACGGACGGCGCGCUCGCGGACGCGGGUUCGAAUCCCGCCGCCUCCACUC
RNAcentral lists this transfer-messenger RNA (141 nucleotides) under Actinomycetota bacterium. Its description in RNAcentral is "partial transfer-messenger RNA". It matches the Rfam family "transfer-messenger RNA", at positions 228 to 374 of the family's 374-position model. Rfam says of the family: Bacterial tmRNA, also known as 10Sa RNA or SsrA, is named for its dual tRNA and mRNA-like properties. Its role is to liberate the mRNA from a stalled ribosome. Lineage: Bacteria; Bacillati; Actinomycetota. The record is from RNAcentral.